Canis lupus familiaris (dog) is the source of this 567-nucleotide long non-coding RNA. RefSeq lists it as uncharacterized. The transcript is spliced from 4 exons. The record is from RefSeq and is a predicted model, not a curated record. Lineage: Eukaryota; Metazoa; Chordata; Mammalia; Carnivora; Canidae.
AGGGUCUCCAGGAUCACACCCUGGGCUGCAGGCGGCGCUAAACCGCUGUGCCACCGGGGCUGCCCUGGCUCUUAUAUUUUAAAUUCACCAGUGAAGAGUGAGCCCGAGAAACCCAAGGCCCCCACCCUCCACCCCAAUAAAAGCAGAAUCCCAGAGCUGGUCUCUCUCUCUCUCUACCUGUGAGCUUGCUGUGUGGCCCCACUGGGCUGUGUAACUUCCAGGACUUCCAAAGAAUCCAAGGGACCAAAUAUGUGAAUUGAUCUUUAACACUGGCAGCGUUGAGCCUACCAUUUGCUUAAAGGUGUGACCAUAAUAAAUAAGUUAUGUAUUUCGUUUACCUGGUACCAUGGCUGACAUGUGGAAGAUGCUUAGUAAAUAUGAGAAAGUAUUAUUACUGCUGGAAGAAGAAAGGGGAAGAUAAAGAGUUAUGGUUGUUUCAGGGAAUGUCUGGGAUCUUUCAUCUUUGUGAAGUCUGGUGUCCACGGCUAUGCAUCCAUCCAUCCAUCCAUCCAUCCAUCCAUAUAUCUUCCUCCUUGGAUGUACAUUAGAGAAACUCUUCAUAUAGAA